RNAcentral lists this ribosomal RNA (409 nucleotides) under uncultured bacterium. Its description in RNAcentral is "bacterial SSU rRNA". It matches the Rfam family "Bacterial small subunit ribosomal RNA", at positions 505 to 916 of the family's 1533-position model. The record is from RNAcentral.
GUGUCAGCCGCCGCGGUAAUACGGAGGAUCCGAGCGUUAUCCGGAUUUAUUGGGUUUAAAGGGUGCGUAGGUGGUUUGAUAAGUCAGCGGUGAAAGUUUGCAGCUUAACUGUAAAAAUGCCGUUGAAACUGUCGGACUUGAGUGUAAAUGAGGUAGGCGGAAUGCGUGGUGUAGCGGUGAAAUGCAUAGAUAUCACGCAGAACUCCGAUUGCGAAGGCAGCUUACUAAGCUACAACUGACACUGAAGCACGAAAGCGUGGGGAUCAAACAGGAUUAGAUACCCUGGUAGUCCACGCAGUAAACGAUGAUUACUAGCUGUUUGCGAUACACAGUAAGCGGCACAGCGAAAGCGUUAAGUAAUCCACCUGGGGAGUACGCCGGCAACGGUGAAACUCAAAUGAAUUGGCGG